UGGGGAAUAUUGGGCAAUGGGGGCAACCCUGACCCAGCGACGCCGCGUGAGGGAAGACGGCCUUCGGGUUGUAAACCUCUUUUGUACGGGAAGAAGGAUGUGACGGUACCGUGCGAAUAAGUCCCGGCUAACUACGUGCCAGCAGCCGCGGUAAUACGUAGGGGACGAGCGUUGUCCGGAAUUACUGGGCGUAAAGGGCGCGCAGGCUGUAGAUCAAGUCAGCUGUGAAAUGUCUGGGCUUAACCCGGGCAUGCGGUUGAAACUGAUGUACUGGAGUGCUGUAGAGGCAAGUGGAAUUCCCAGUGUAGCGGUGAAAUGCGUAGAUAUUGGGAAGAACACCGGUGGCGAAGGCGACUUGCUGGGCAGCAACUGACGCUGAGGCGCGAAAGCCAGGGGAGCAAACG
RNAcentral lists this ribosomal RNA (404 nucleotides) under uncultured prokaryote. Its description in RNAcentral is "bacterial SSU rRNA". It matches the Rfam family "Bacterial small subunit ribosomal RNA", at positions 355 to 774 of the family's 1533-position model. The record is from RNAcentral.